GGAGAGGUGCCAGAGUGGCCGAAUGGGGCAGACUCGAAAUCUGUUGAACAGUUACGCUGUUCCGAGGGUUCGAAUCCCUCUCUCUCCU
This 88-nucleotide transfer RNA is filed under the name Sulfurirhabdus autotrophica. It matches the Rfam family "tRNA". From Rfam's summary of the family: Transfer RNA (tRNA) molecules are approximately 80 nucleotides in length. Lineage: Bacteria; Pseudomonadati; Pseudomonadota; Betaproteobacteria; Nitrosomonadales; Sulfuricellaceae. The record is from Rfam by way of RNAcentral.